Molecule: long non-coding RNA, 3503 nt
Filed under: Homo sapiens (human)
Lineage: Eukaryota; Metazoa; Chordata; Mammalia; Primates; Hominidae
Description: HSALNT0364549
Source: RNAcentral
UUUCUUUGAGUUUCCUCAACACAGCUAUUUUGAAUUCUCUGUCUGAAAACUCACAUAUGUCUCUCUCUCCAGGAUUGGCCCCUGGUGCCUUAUUUCAUUUGGUAAGGUCAUGUUUUUCUGUAUGGACUUGAUGCCUGUGGCUGUUCAUUGGUGUCUGAUCUUUGAAGAGUUAUGCAUUUAUCACAGUCUUCACAGUCUGGGCUUGUUUGUGUCCAUCCUUCCUGGGAACGCUUUCUACAUAUUCAAAGGGACCUGGGGGUUGAGAUCUGAGUUUUUGGUCACUGCAAGCCAUAUCUGCAUUACAGAGCACCCCAAGCCUAGUAACGUUGUGGUUCUUGAAGACUCGUAGAGGUACCACUUUGGUGGUCUCGGAUAAGAUAUGGAAGAAUUCUCUGGAUUACCAGGUGGAGACUUUUGUUCUCUUCUUUUACUUUCUCCUGAACAAAAGAGUCUCUCUUUCUUUGCUGAGGUACAUGAGGCUAUGGGAAGGGUUACACAAGCACCCCUGUGGCCAUCACCACUGAGAUUGGGCUGGGUGAGACCUGAAUCCAGCACAGCACUGGGUCUCUCCCAAGGCCUGCUAUAACUACUACCUGGUCACCACCUAUGUUCGCUCAAGGCCCUAGAGCCUUAAAGCCAGCAGGUGGUGAAGCCAGCCAGUCUUGUGACCUUCACUUCAGAGCAGUGAGUUCCCUCAUGUCCUUGGCUGGUCCAGAGAUACCGUCUGGAAGUCAGGGACUGAAGUUGGAAAACUUAAAAAUCUACCUGCUAAGGCUAAGCUAGCACUCAAACCACAAUACAAAGUCCUUCCCACUUUCCCCAGGCAAAAUAGUCUCUCCCUGUGCCCACCACCACACAGGCUCACAGGGAGUACUCUCAGGCUACCAGUAAUGUUCACUUAUGGCCUAAGGACUCUUCAGUCAGCUUGUGGUGAAUGCUGUCAGGCUUGGGACUCACCCUUCAGGGCAAGAGGCUCCCCUCUGGCCCAGGGCAGGCUCAGAAAUCCCAUCCAAGAGCCAAAUCCUGGAAUCAGGGGCUCCAAGACCUUGCUUGGUGAUCUUCCCUACUGUGACCAAGCUUGUACCUAAGCUGCAAUCAAAAUCCUUUUUUAUUAUUAUGCCUCCUUUUCUCAGGCAGAAGGAGUCUCUUCUCAUAUCCACCAUGGCUGUGAAUAUGCUGGGUCACACCUGAAGCUAGCAAAUCUCAGAGUCUCACCCAAGGCCCAUGAUAGGGAAAGGGGAAGGCUUGAUCUGGGAAAGCUGGAGAAAGAAGACUGAAGGAUGGACUGGAUGACAUUGAUGCUAUUGCCUCAUGACAAAAUCUGAUGCAAGAGGAAGGCUACUAAGAAGCCAGCUCUACUUUUGACCAUCAGGUACCAUCUUAGGCUUCAGUUUCCUCAGGAGAAGAGGAUCCUUGGACAAGAGGAUCUGCAAAGUUCCUUCUAACUAAUAUUCUAUGAUUCUUUUUCUGAGUAAAAAGAUGGAUUUAUGACAAAAUUAAAAAAAGAAAAUCAGCUUUUAAAAGGUGUAACUUCUUCAAAGAUUUUUCCAGAAAAGACUGCCAAUAUGAAUUGUGAGAUAAAGCAGAUUGUAGAGCAAAAUUGUUGGACUUUUAAGAACAAAAAUACAUGGAAGCCAAGAGCAAUAAUUAACAUUUUUGAAAUAUUAUGUUACUUUCUCACAUUAAAAAAAUAAUAAUUGAGACUGUGAGGUGGGCAGGAGUACAUUUCCUUACCUAGGGAUUUUAGGUGACUUAAUAUAAGUCGCCUAAAAGUAAGCCAGUAGACCCAAGAAUCGUACCUUCAAAUUGCAGGACCCAUAGAGAACAAUCCAGGUAUAAAUUUAGCCGGGGAAGGGUCAGAUUAAUACUGGACUUCUGGUGUCACAUUGCUCAGCUUCAAAGCACAAUUUACAUAUUUUCAUUGACUUACUUUUGCUAUUUCUGUAUAAUGAACUCUAGAAAUAUUUGGUUACUAUCUCCAGAAUUUGGAAUUUUCAAUGGACUGUAAUAAGAAACAAAAAAGAUCAGAUAAGGGGAAAAAGAUCUGUUAUGUCCUAAAUAACAGUGAUAACAUGAACACAAUCUAUGCUAUAAAAAGCUAUGAGCUAAGCUCACAAAACAUGUGGACAAAUAUGAGCUAGUGAAAGAAAAUGACCUAAUGGAAAGAUGUCAGAAAGUGGCAGAACAAGUUCUAAGAAAAUUGGACAAUUUCCUCAAUCUGACAUGAUUUAAGUGCAAGGAGAACUUGAAUAGCAUGAAUUUGGCCUUGGGCAGAAAUAUGUACCCCCAAGAGAGGCAGCUCCCUCAGCAUUGCUUCUAGACAUCGAAUUUGGCAUGAAGAGAAUGUUAGCUAGUCCAGGACACAUUCUAGACAGGAUAGGCUCUAAACAUUUCGAAAAAGCCUCUACUCAUUGUAAAAAAAAUAUGCUUAAUAUAUAUAUAAUUAAAAGGAAGAAAGUAAAAAUCUUCGUAGUAUUGCAUCUUAACAUUUCGGUGUAUUGCUUUCCAGUGAUGAAAGAAUGAACCUUAAAGGGGAGGAGGACUAACAAUUCUUCAGGUGAGAAGAGGGAAGAAAGUUAGGAUGAAUCUGGAAGUGAGAUUUCAAGAUGGGGCAAGAAGAACUUCUGUUCACCUGUAAAAUAGAAAAAAAGAUAUUUUCAGUCUCACCAUUAUUUUCCAAGUGAGUUUUUUUUUUUCCUAUUACUAAACUGUACAAGGGCAGGAGCUGUGCCAUUUUAGUCUGUGAUCCUCCAAAGACUGUUAUAAUGGCUCAGCAGACACUCAAUAAAUAUUUGUUGAAUAAUCAGAGGCAAGUAAGACAUAAUAAACACAAAAACGUAGCAAAGCAAAUGCCAGGAGGAACUGGAGUUUAGUAGAAUAUUUAAUGAAAGUGCAAAAGACUUGCAAAAGUGCUUGGGAAUUAGGGAAGGAUAAAGAGGGUGUGACCCAAGCCUGGGGUUGCAAAUGACAUAUAGACAGCUUGACAUUUCUUCUCCCUUAUAAUUCAUUAAUCUCCAACAGGGAUCAUUUUCUAAAAAAAAAAUAUUGUUAUAGAUUCAAAGGGUAAAGUGGAAGUUUGUUACAUGGAUAGAUGACAAUGUAGUGGUUGGGUUUGGGCUUCUAUUGUACCCAUCACCCGAAUAGUGAAUAUUGUACCCAAAUAGGUUACUUUUCAACCCUCCCCCCAUCCCACUCUCCCCACUUUUGGAGUCUCCAAUGUCAAUUGUUUCCUUCUUUGUGUCCAUGUGUACCCAUUCUUUAGCUCUUACUUAUGAGUGAAAAGAUGAAGUAUUUGAUUUUCUGUUUAUGAGUUUUUUCAUUAGGAUAAUGGUCUCAAGCUCCAUUUUCCAUGUUGCUGCAAAACAUAGGAUUUCAUUCUUUUUAUGGCCGUGUAAUAUUCCAUGGUGUAUAUAUACCACAUUUUUUAUCUAAUCAUCCUUUAUAGGACACUGAAAUUAGUUCCAUAUCUUUGCUAUUGUGAAUAGCGUUGUGACAAACAUGAA